RNAcentral lists this transfer RNA (77 nucleotides) under Clostridiaceae bacterium. Its description in RNAcentral is "tRNA-Arg". It matches the Rfam family "tRNA". From Rfam's summary of the family: Transfer RNA (tRNA) molecules are approximately 80 nucleotides in length. Their secondary structure includes four short double-helical elements and three loops (D, anti-codon, and T loops). Further hydrogen bonds mediate the characteristic L-shaped molecular structure. tRNAs have two regions of fundamental functional importance: the anti-codon, which is responsible for specific mRNA codon recognition, and the 3' end, to which the tRNAs corresponding amino acid is attached (by aminoacyl-tRNA synthetases). tRNAs cope with the degeneracy of the genetic code in two manners: having more than one tRNA (with a specific anti-codon) for a particular amino acid; and 'wobble' base-pairing, i.e. permitting non-standard base-pairing at the 3rd anti-codon position. The record is from RNAcentral. Lineage: Bacteria; Bacillati; Bacillota; Clostridia; Eubacteriales; Clostridiaceae.
GUGCCUUUAGCUCAAUUGGAUAGAGCGUCUGACUACGGAUCAGAAGGUUGGGGGUUCAAGUCCUCUAAGGCACGCCA